AUGGCGAAGGUUCUGCCGCAUGUUCGUGCGGCGGGCAUGAUGGGUUUCCUAGAUGGUUCCCAGAAGGAACGCGCCGCUGAGAUCAGCACGGAGAGGGACGUCGCCGGCAAUAAGGAGGUCACUGUCGCCGUCAACCCAGAGCACACCAUCUGGGUUACCCAGGAACAGCAGACCUCCGCCUACUCCGCCAACCUCACUGCAAAAGACGGAGGCCGUGGCAACUUCAACCAGGGUGGCUCUCGUGGCGGCGGCAACAGCGGCUCCCGUGGCUACAACAACAACAACACGGGCGCCCGCUCCUCCGACAUGUACACUGGUGGUGGCGGCUUUGGUGGCGCGCCUCGCAGUGUGGUGACCGGCGGUGACCGCGGUGACCAUGAGAAGUGCCAAAUCUGCAAGAACGAGGGGCAUGGUGCAUGGCGCUACAAGAAGCGCUACGACCGCAACUUCAACAACAACGUUCGUAACCCUGCUGGUGGUGGAGGUGGUGGUGGCGGCGGUGGGAACUGA
RNAcentral lists this ribosomal RNA (510 nucleotides) under Triticum aestivum (bread wheat). RNAcentral's name for it is "partial small subunit ribosomal RNA". The record is from RNAcentral. Lineage: Eukaryota; Viridiplantae; Streptophyta; Magnoliopsida; Poales; Poaceae.